Molecule: ribosomal RNA, 614 nt
Filed under: uncultured fungus
Lineage: Eukaryota; Fungi
Description: eukaryotic LSU rRNA
Rfam family: 5.8S ribosomal RNA (bases 220-373)
Source: RNAcentral
CUUGGUCAUUUAGAGGAAGUAAAAGUCGUAACAAGGUUUCCGUAGGUGAACCUGCGGAAGGAUCAUUAGAGAAAUCUCAGACGGCUGUGCGCCUUUGGGCGGCACGCCGUUUCAAUUUCCACACACUGUGCACCUUCGACGGAAGUGGGGAAACUUGCUCCCGAUCGCUUUCAUUAACCAAGUUAGUCUUGAAUGUAAACCCCUUCAUAAAAGAAAAACAACUUUCGGCAACGGAUCUCUUGGCUCUCGCAUCGAUGAAGAACGCAGCGAAAUGCGAUAAGUAAUGUGAAUUGCAGAAUUCAGUGAAUCAUCGAAUCUUUGAACGCACCUUGCGCCCCAUGGUUUUCCACGGGGCACGCCCGUUCGAGUGUCACAUUAACCCUCGCCAACCCGACAGUAAUGUCGGGGGAAGCGGAUUUGGACGUUUGCCGGUCGUGAGAUCGGCUCGUCUCGAAAUGCAUGAGCGAAGUGAGAUGCAAACACGACGUUGAUAAUUGUCUACGCCUCGUGAGCGUCGAGCGUCGCUCACAAUCGCCGAGAGGCAAUUCCACCGAGUUUGACCUCGAAUCGGGUGGGACUACCCGCUGAACUUAAGCAUAUCAAUAAGCGGAGGA